ACUAUAUGCGAUGGAUAUCUUGGCUCUUGAUUCGAUGAAGAACGCAGCGAAAUGCGAUAGGUAAUGCGAAUUGCAGAACUCUGUGAGUCAUCAAAUUUUUGAACGCAUAUUGCACUUCCUUUGGGAGUAUACUUGUUUGAGUAUUGUUUGAUUGGUUUAACUAGAGAUAGUUGAAUUGGGAUAAUAUGUUAUGUAUCCUUGAGGAAAUGUUUUUGUAUGAUGAGCAUUGUAUUUGAUGAGGUAGUUACCACAUUGAAUGGAGUGUUUGUGAUACAAGAGACGUUGAUAGUAUCUCACCAUCUCGUCGGGCUUCGCCCUCCUCGAUAAAUCAAUCUCAAAUCAAGUAAGAAGACCUGCUGAAUUGAAGCAUCUAAUUAAGCAGAGGAAAAGAAAAUAACAAUGAUUCUCUUAGUAACGGCGAGUGAAUAGGGAAUAGCCCAAGCCUGAAUCGACCUAGUCGAGUUGUGGUGUGUAUAGUAUUUGAGAAUGAAUGGUAUUGGAUAUAAUUUGGCUGGAAAGUCAAGUCAUAGAAGGUGAAAGCCCUGUAUAUGAUUCAAUAUUGUUCAAGCAUUGAAUACUAUUGGAGUCGAGCUGUUUGGGAUUGCAGCUCUAAGUUGGUGGUGAACUCCAUCAAAGGCUAAAUAUGAUCAAGAGACCGAUAGCGAACAAGUACCGUGAGGGAAAGAUGAAAAGAACUUUGAAAAAAGAGUGAAAUAGUACUUGAAAUCGUAUAUAGGUUAAGCGAAGAUUGUGUGUAGAUUGUAUGCAAUGUGCUGGUUAUCAUAGAUGAUUGGUUUAUUGUGUAUGAUAUGGGUGUGUAGGUUGUGAUUGGUCAAAGUUUGACUGCCCACGACCCCCCCACCCCACCACACACUCUUCGUCCCGUCUUGAAACACGGACCAAGGAGUCUAUCCUUUAUGCAAGUAGUAUGGUGUUAAACCAAUAUGCAUAAUGAAAGUAAGAGGUGUGAAACUGUAAAGUGUCAACAUCUGCCGAUCAUAAUUCUUUGAUGAAAGAUUCGAGUAUGAGCAUAUAGGGUGGGACCCGAAAGAUGGUGAACUAUGCCUGAAUAGGACGAAGCCAGGGGAAACUCUGGUGGAGGUUCGAUUGGAUUCUAACGUGCAAAUUGAUCUUUAAAUUUGGGUAUAGGGGCGAAAGACUAAUCGAACCAUCUAGUAGCUGGUUCAUUCCGAAAUUUCCCUCAGGAUAGCUGCAACUUUUGAAAUAGUUUUAUGAGGUAAAGCGAAUGAUUAGAGGUUUCUGGGAUGGAAUAUCCUGGACCUAUUCUCAAACUUUCAAUGGGUAAGAAAUCGGGGAUGUUUAAUUAAUCUCUGAGUUUGAAUAUGAGUUGCAAGUGGGCCAUUCCGGGUAAGCUGGACUGGCAAUGCGGGAUCAACCGAACGCUAUGUUACGGUGCCUUAUUAUUCGCUCAGUUCGAUGUAAAAGGUGUUAGUUCAUCUAGACAGCAGGACGGUGGCCAUGGAAGUCGGAAUCCGCUAAGGAGUGUGUAACAACUCACCUGCCGAAUGAAGUAGCCCUGAAAAUGGAUGGCGCUAAAGCGAAUAACCUAUACAUAGCCAACACAAUUAGGAUUGUAUGGUGUUGAGUAGGAAUGCGUGAUGAAUGUUGUGAAGUAUAUCGUGUGAACGAAUAUGGAACAUUCAUUAGUGCAGAUCUUGGUGGAAGUAGCAAAUAUUCAAAUGAGAUCUUUGAAGACUGAAGUGGAGAAAGGUUCCAUAGGAAUAGUGAUUAUCUAUGGGUUAGUCGAUCCUAAGAGAUAAGUGAAAUCUGUUGAAAGUAUAACAUUUGGUUAUAAGUUAUCGAAAGGGAAUCAGGUUAAUAUUCCUGAACCAAAUAGUAUAAGAAACGGUAACGUAUAUUCCUCUUGAGACAUUUCUAUUAUUCCCAGGAAGAGUUUUCUUUUCUUGUUAACAAUAUUUGAGUGCUUGGAAUUAAUUCAGUUAGCGAUAAGCAUUGAAUAUUGGUAAAGUAGUAUACUAUUGUAUAUUAUCUGGUGCAAUGAUAGGGAUCCUUGAAAAUGAAGAGGUAAAAUCUUAGAAUAUUUGGUCGUACUAAUAACCGCAUCAGGUCUCCAAGGUGAAUAGCCUCUAGUUAAUAGAAUAAUGUAGAUAAGGGAAGUCGGCAAAUUAGAUCCGUAACUUCGGGAAAAGGAUUGGCUCUGAGGGCUAAGUGGAUAUGAGUGUUAGGUAUGUGUUGGUAUGGUAUGAGUGUUGUUUUUGAUGGCUUCGGUUGUUGAGAAUGGCAUUUAUAGUAUUCCUUCCCAUCCUGUCACUCUCCCACUAUGAAUAGCUAACUCAGAACUGGUACGGACAAGGGGAAUCCGACUGUUUAAUUAAAACAAAGCAUUGUGAUAGUGUGAAAGAUAUAUUGACACAAUGUGAAUUCUGCCCAGUGCUCUGAAUGUCAAAGUGGCGUAAUUCAACCAAGCGCGGGUAAACGGCGGGAGUAACUAUGACUCUCUUAAGGUAGCCAAAUGCCUCGUCAUCUAAUUAGUGACGCGCAUGAAUGGAUUAAUGAGAUUCCCACUGUCCCUAUCUACUAUCUAGCGAAACCACAGCCAAGGGAACGGGCUUGGAAAAAUCAGCGGGGAAAGAAGACCCUGUUGAGCUUGACUCUAGUUUAACAUUGUGAAAUGACUUUAGAGGUGUAGCAUAGGUGGGAGAAGCAAUUCGAUCCUGAAAUACCACUACUCUGAAUGUUGUUUUACUUAUUCCAUGAAAAAGGAUAGUAUAUUUGUAUACUGUUAAGAAGUAAAUUGGUUAAUCCAAUGACCUAAAUGGGAGACAUUGUUAGGUGGGGAGUUCGGCUGGGGCGGCACAUCUGUUAAAGAAUAACACAGGUGUCCUAAGAUGAGCUCAAUAAGAACAGAAAUCUUAUGUAGAACAAAAGGGUAAAAGCUCAUUUGAUUUUGGUUUUCAGUAUGAUCACAAACUAUGCAAGUAUGGCCUAUCGAUCCUUUAUAUUUAGUGAGAUCCUAGAUAGAGGUGUCAGAAAAGUUACCACAGGGAUAACUGGCUUGUGGCGGCCAAGAGUUCAUAUCGACGUCGCUUUUUGAUUCUUCGAUGUCGGCUCUUCCUAUCAUUGCGAAGCAGAAUUCGCCAAGUGUUGGAUUGUUCACCCACUAAUAGGGAACGUGAGCUGGGUUUAGACCGUCGUGAGACAGGUUAGUUUUACCCUACUGAUGAAGGCAUUGUCGUAACAGUAAUCAAACUUAGUACGAGAGGAACCGUUUGUUCAGAUAAUUGGUAAAUCCAUUUAACUGAAAAGUUAGUGAUGGGAAGCUAUCAUCUGUGGGAUUAUGACUGAACGCCUCUAAGUCAGAAUCCUUGCUGAAAUAAUACGAUGAUUCUCUAGUUUUAGAGGGAUAAUAUGUAUUUCACGUAAGAAUACUUUAUUCUUUUU
Molecule: ribosomal RNA, 3423 nt
Filed under: human gut metagenome
Description: eukaryotic LSU rRNA
Rfam family: Eukaryotic large subunit ribosomal RNA (bases 330-3376)
Source: RNAcentral